AGUGAACGCUGGCGGUAGGCCUAACACAUGCGAGUCGAACGGCAGCACAGUAAGAGCUUGCUCUUACGGGUGGCGAGUGGCGGACGGGUGAGGAAUACAUCGGAAUCUACUUUUUCGUGGGGGAUAACGUAGGUAAACUUACGCUAAUACCGCAUACGACCUACGGGUGAAAGCAGGGGAUCUUCGGACCUUGCGCGAUUGAAUGAGCCGAUGUCGGAUUAGCUAGUUGGCGGGGUAAAGGCCCACCAAGGCGACGAUCCGUAGCUGGUCUGAGAGGAUGAUCAGCCACACUGGAACUGAGACACGGUCCAGACUCCUACGGGAGGCAGCAGUGGGGAAUAUUGGACAAUGGGCGCAAGCCUGAUCCAGCCAUACCGCGUGGGUGAAGAAGGCCUUCGGGUUGUAAAGCCCUUUUGUUGGGAAAGAAAAGCAGCAGGUUAAUACCCCGCUGUUCUGACGGUACCCAAAGAAUAAGCACCGGCUAACUUCGUG
This 492-nucleotide ribosomal RNA is filed under the name uncultured bacterium. RNAcentral's name for it is "partial 16S ribosomal RNA". It matches the Rfam family "Bacterial small subunit ribosomal RNA", at positions 29 to 507 of the family's 1533-position model. The record is from RNAcentral.